AUUGAACGCUGGCGGCAUGCUUUACACAUGCAAGUCGAACGGCAGCGCGGGCUUCGUCCUUGCCGCGUGUGGCGGACGGGUGGGUGAGUCAUCCGAACGUGCCCUGCCGUUGGGGCUAGCAUGACUAAGGCCAGCUUUAUCCCACAUCCGACCUGAUUGUGAAAGGGAUGGAUCGAAAGUCCUCGCCCUUCUGGAGCUGCCGAUGUCGGAUUAGCUAGUUGGUUGGGUAAAGGCUUACCAAGGCGACGAUCCAUAGCUGGUCUGAAAGGACGACCAGCCACACUGGGACUGAGACACGGCCCAGACUCCUACGGGAGGCAGCAGUGGGGAAUCUUGGACAAUGGGGGCAACCCUGAUCCAGCAACGCCGCGUGAGUGAAGAAGGCCUUCGGGUUGUAAACCGCUUUUGUUAGGGAAGAAAAUAUGUGGGCUAAUCCGCCGGGGGCAUGACGGUACCGAAAGAAUAAGCACCGGCUAACUACGUG
This 484-nucleotide ribosomal RNA is filed under the name uncultured bacterium. RNAcentral describes it as "partial 16S ribosomal RNA". It matches the Rfam family "Bacterial small subunit ribosomal RNA", at positions 30 to 507 of the family's 1533-position model. The record is from RNAcentral.